CGGACUUGACGUUGGUUUACCAGCGAGUGGCGGACGGGUGAGUAACACGUAGGUAACCUGCCCCAAAGCGGGGGAUAACAUUUGGAAACAGAUGCUAAUACCGCAUAACAAUUUGAAUCGCAUGAUUCAAAUUUAAAAGAUGGCUUCGGCUAUCACUUUGGGAUGGACCUGCGGCGCAUUAGCUUGUUGGUAGGGUAACGGCCUACCAAGGCUGUGAUGCGUAGCCGAGUUGAGAGACUGAUCGGCCACAAUGGAACUGAGACACGGUCCAUACUCCUACGGGAGGCAGCAGUAGGGAAUCUUCCACAAUGGGCGCAAGCCUGAUGGAGCAACACCGCGUGAGUGAAGAAGGGUUUCGGCUCGUAAAGCUCUGUUGUUAGAGAAGAACGUGCGUGAGAGCAACUGUUCACGCAGUGACGGUAUCUAACCAGAAAGUCACGGCUAACUACGUGCCAGCAGCCGCGGUAAUACGUAGGUGGCAAGCGUUAUCCGGAUUUAUUGGGCGUAAAGCGAGCGCAGGCGGUUUGAUAAGUCUGAUGUGAAAGCCUUUGGCUUAACCAAAGAAGUGCAUCGGAAACUGUCAGACUUGAGUGCAGAAGAGGACAGUGGAACUCCAUGUGUAGCGGUGGAAUGCGUAGAUAUAUGGAAGAACACCAGUGGCGAAGGCGGCUGUCUGGUCUGCAACUGACGCUGAGGCUCGAAAGCAUGGGUAGCGAACAGGAUUAGAUACCCUGGUAGUCCAUGCCGUAAACGAUGAGUGCUAGGUGUUGGAGGGUUUCCGCCCUUCAGUGCCCGCAGCUAACGCAUUAAGGCACUCCGCCUGGGGA
This 827-nucleotide ribosomal RNA is filed under the name uncultured bacterium. RNAcentral's name for it is "bacterial SSU rRNA". It matches the Rfam family "Bacterial small subunit ribosomal RNA", at positions 63 to 879 of the family's 1533-position model. The record is from RNAcentral.